Molecule: non-coding RNA, 85 nt
Filed under: unclassified sequences
Source: RNAcentral
GGGAGCGAGGGUGUCAGCCCCUCCUCCCGCCGUAAAGCCACUAUGACCGGGUUGCAAGUCCCGGCUGCGAUAGGCUGAGCACGGU